RNAcentral lists this long non-coding RNA (1234 nucleotides) under Homo sapiens (human). RNAcentral's name for it is "HSALNT0364788". The record is from RNAcentral. Lineage: Eukaryota; Metazoa; Chordata; Mammalia; Primates; Hominidae.
AGCAAUAUCAGCAGUUCCCCGGAGGCACCUUCGCCUCUGUCUCUUUGGCCAGCACCUGAUUUCCUCUAGUUGAAGAGCUUCACACGCAUAACCAGGUGACUAUUCUGAUGUUUCAUUCACAGUUUCUUUUAUGUCUUUUAGAGAAGUUCUGGUUAAUUCCAACAACCCAUGAAACGUCAAGCAUUACCACAUUACAACCAUUUACUAAGCACCUGCUGUGUACAAGGCAGACACUGAGGGCUGAAAUAUAUCCUUGCUUAUAAGCUUCAGUGACUGGCUAGAGUUCCUUUUUAGUACUGAGUUCUUAGGGAAAGGAAACUAGAGGACACAAGAAAUGUGCUGCUGACCAAUCUCAGGGCUUCUUUCUUUUGGUGGGUAACCACAAGAUUCCUUACCAGCAGUAUGACUGUUUUUUCCCCAGUAUUUGUAGGAGGCCACCAGAGAGACAGGAUUGCAAGGUUUUAAAUAUGCUAGUGUCAUGAGGUCAUGGAUUUCCUACCUGAAACAGAUAGUGUGACUGCCCUGCUAUAGCCAUGUUUGGCCAGUGUAGGAAUUUUGAGAACAGUGAACACUUAAUACUCAGAUGGCAUUUUGCCACCCCGACAAGGACCAUACCUGCCAUUCCAUUGUAGUUCGCCUUGCCCAGAAGUUUUAAAAUUUUUCUUUCAGCCUGGGAUUUCAAGUGUACUACAGCAUCCUCUUCACCUAUACAAGCGUCUGUUGUUUUAAAAGGAAACUGAUAUAAUUUGAGCAAAUAAUUUGAAGAUGGGUAAAUAGAAGUUUGACUGAAGCUGAUGAAAAUGAAGGAAAAGAGGGAGAAGAAACCAGCUGCCUGGAAGACUGACCCUCUGAGAUGCUCUGGAGCCGUGCAGUUGUUCUCACUGGCAGAUCAGUCCUGUCCCUCCAAUAAAAGAGAGGGUGAUCUUGGUGUGAGAUGUUCUCUUUUGAAGUGUGAUCAAAGCUUUGAGCUCAGGGAUUGCUUAGCAAGGUGGAAUUCUUUCUUUCUCUUGAGAGUUUAAAUGACCUCUGUAAUUGAUAGGCAUCGUAGUCACAAAAUGAAGUUUUGAAGUGGAGAAGAUAAAAGGUCACUACCUUGGAAAAUAGUGAGAAUUUCUUUCCUUUGGUGUUGCCUUCAUUUCACACUUGAUAAUUCUGUAAGGUUCUGAUUGUCACCCUGCAGCAGUUUCCAUAUGACUCAGAAAAAGCCCCCAGGCUCUUGCUACCCAGCUUGAGA